RNAcentral lists this ribosomal RNA (407 nucleotides) under bacterium. Its description in RNAcentral is "partial 16S ribosomal RNA". It matches the Rfam family "Bacterial small subunit ribosomal RNA", at positions 355 to 776 of the family's 1533-position model. The record is from RNAcentral.
UGGGGAAUAUUGGACAAUGGACCGAGAGUCUGAUCCAGCAAUUCUGUGUGCACGAUGAAGUUUUUCGGAAUGUAAAGUGCUUUCAGUUGGGAAGAAAAAAAUGACGGUACCAACAGAAGAAGUGACGGCUAAAUACGUGCCAGCAGCCGCGGUAAUACGUAUGUCACGAGCGUUAUCCGGAUUUAUUGGGCGUAAAGCGCGUCUAGGUGGUUAUGUAAGUCUGAUGUGAAAAUGCAGGGCUCAACUCUGUAUUGCGUUGGAAACUGUAUAACUAGAGUACUGGAGAAGUAAGCGGAACUACAAGUGUAGAGGUGAAAUUCGUAGAUAUUUGUAGGAAUGCCGAUGGGGAAGCCAGCUUACUGGACAGAUACUGACGCUAAAGCGCGAAAGCGUGGGUAGCAAACAGG